GGCUCUCCUCUCAGGCGGCGGCCAUGUUGCUGGUGGAGAAACUCCGGCGGACACGUGGGGGGGAGCGGGCCGGCCCCAGCGUUUCCUCUUACCCACAAUGCCCCGCCCCGGUGCACGCGGCUCCGCCCCCUCCGCCGCGCCAUUCAUGCAGGCCGUGAGCCCCGCCCUGCAGCAGGGGGCGCUGAUGGCACGCGCAAAACUGAGCCAGGAGUGUAUGCAGCGGGGACAAAAAGACAGCAACCCUGGCAGCGGUGGGAUUCGAACCCACGCCCCCGAAGAGACUGGAGCCUUAAUCCAGCGCCUUAGACCGCUCGGCCACGCUACCCAGCUGCAAUAUGUUUAUGCCAGAAAGCUACUUAAUGCUUUUGCUUUUGCAUUUAAUCUGGACAUUGCGAGGCGUUUUCGCUGAGGUUUUUUUUUUGCUUAACGUGUGUUCAAGGUGAUCCCUAUAGAAUUAUUUUAAAAAGCCGUGUUUUGGAAAAUAAACACUUGCUCCAGUCUUUAGACCCAGGUUGGUUCCGAAUAGGUAUUAGAGCAAAACGCAUUUUUAGAAACUUUACUCUGAGUUGGAUGGUUAACCCGGAGACCCCUGGUUAACCCACAGGUAAUCCAUACGACCCGGAUUGGGUGUCUCCGGGAGAAGAAAUUGAUCUGAUCAGAAACAUGCACCAGGGGAUCUGACGGCCAAACCCUGGAGCUGGUCUGGGCAGUUGUCUCUGAAAAAUUAUGUUUAAAUUUUUACUUACACAAAUAACACGCGAAUUAUUGCAAAAUAUUUAAACUUUGCAGAUAAGGUACAAAUGCUCUUUGACCUUGACUCGCAUCCUAGGCCCCUCCGCCGAGGUAACUAACCAUUAUUAUCUGUUUAAUAUGAACUAUGGUUUGAAUGUGUCCCCCAAAUUUCAUGUGUUGGAAAUUUAAUCCCCAAUGUGGCAGUAUUGUGUGGUGGGCCCUUUAAGAGGUGAUUAGAUCAUGAGGGUGGAGCCCUUAUGAAUGGAUUAAUCUCUUCAUGGAUUCAUGGAUUAAUGGGUUAAUGGAUUAAUGGGUUAUCUUGGGAGGGGGACUGAUGGCUUUAUAAGAAGAGGGAGAGAGACCUUAGCUAGCAAGGGAGCAGCUCAGCACCCCCUCCAUAUGAUGGCUUGUACUGCCUGGGAACUCUGCAGGUGUCCCCCACCAGCAAGAAGGCCCUCACCAGAUGCACACUCUUGACCUUGGACUUCUCAGACUCCAUAACUAGACAGGGGUCUCGCUAUGUUGCCAGGACCGGUCUUGAACUCCUAAGGCUGAGAUAUUUCUGCUAGAACAUUCUGGAGCAACUUGUCUCUUUCUACAAACACAUACUGAGCAGGAUGCUUAAUUAAGAGGAAGCCUGCAGGGAAACAGCUGAUCCUGGAAGGCACAGCACCCUUUUGAGAGUUUCUUACAGUCCAGCAGCCCCUUACACAGUUUUCUCAUGACAAUCAGACAUGAAAUCAAUGAGCAAGAGAUGCAGAAUGUUGCAUCAGAACCCCUGGACCUACAAGGUCUCAGCAGCGGGAUGCCUGACAAGGGAGGGAUGGGCUGAAACUCCGACUAUUCUUUGUGUGCCUGUCCCUAUAUCAUAAACACUAGGCUGUGGAUAGUGGAAAUGGGUGUGGGGUCUCAGUCCUGGAUCCCCUCCAUUCUUUCCUCCCUUGCUCCCAUAAAAGGAAAAUGCUCUCAAACCUGGCCUGAGACCAUAUCUUUCUGUAAGAACCUCCUUCUGGAAAGAAACUAGCAUUUCUGAUAAAUGCUCGAGCAUUGAGCAUUUUUCUUUUGAAAUUUAAGAGCAUUGAGAUUUACACUGGGAAACUAGCUUUCUACUCACUCAGUUGAUGGUCAUUUGUCAGUCAAGAGUGCAGUGACCUUUAACGGAACAUUCUUUUCUUUUCUAUUUUGUCUAACAGUGAUUAUCUAAUCAUUUUCUUCUCCUAGAAAAUGUCUCUAUCAAGAUAGAGGUCAGAAGAGUGGCCAACAUUUUUCGGGGUGGAGAGAGGGUGUAUUGCCUGGGAAGGGGUCCAGGGGGGCUUCUGUAGGCCUGCAAAUGUUCUAAUAUCUUGAAUUGGGUUGUUAAGACACAGAUGUGUACAAAUGUAAAAAUUCAUCAACCUGUAUACUUAAGAGCGUGCAGUUUAAUCUACAUAGGCAGACUGUAAUAAAAAAUAAAUUUUUAGAAAAUGUCCCUACCAAGUAUAAAUCUUUGAAUUCCCAGUGGGUUUACACUUGCAGCAAGACUGUGAUUUUUUUUUUUUAAGAUAUGGGCUUUCACUGUGUUGACCAGGAUGGUCUUGAACUCCUGGCCUCAAGCAAUCCUCCCAUCUUGGCCUCCCAAAGUGCCAGGGUUACAGGUGUGAGCCACCACGCCCGGUCAAGACUGUAAUAAAAUUUUGACGUAUGCUGUAACAAAACCAACAGAAAAGUUUUCUUUAUUAACUUCUCUCUAAUCUUUUUUUUUUUUUUUGAAAUGGAGUCUCAUUCUGUCACCCAGGCUGGAGUACAGUGGUGUGAUCUCGGCUGACUGCAACCUCUGCCUCCUGGGCUCAAGUGAUUCUCCCGCCUCAGCCUGGCUAAUUUUUAUAUUUUUAGUAGAGAUGGUGUUUCACCAUGUUGGCCAGGCUGGGCUCUAACUCCUGACCUCAAGUGAUCUGCCCACCACAGCCUCCCAAAGUGCUGGGAUUACAGGUGUGAGCCACGGUGCCAGGCCUCCUCGUGCCAAUUUCUCAGCCUUGCAGGACUUGUUCAGCAAUGAAAAUUGGGUUUUUCUCAGAUUUCUCUACUGCUGAUCUAGGAUCCAGACUUCUUGGGUCUGUUAAUUCAAUUACAGUCUACCUACUUUCCAGCACCCAAAACUUGCUGUUCAAUCCUCUUUCUCUUCAUCCUCACCGGCUUAUGCUAUUUAAAAACAAACAAACAAACAAAAAAACAAACAAAAGAAUCCACUUCCUGUCAUUGCAGUGGGGAUUUAGGAACAAGUGGACCUAAAUAUGUAUGUUCAACCUACCAUGCAUAGUUAUACUAAUGUUCAAAUUUCUUAAAAUUAAAAAAAAUUAGCUUAAAACCAAAAGAUCAACUGGUAACCAAGAUUUUCUUAAGCUUGGAAUUAAAAAAGCACUUUAGGCUGGGCGUGGUGGCUCACACCUGUAAUCCCAGCACUUUGGGAGGCCAAGGUGAGUAGAUCACCUGAAGCCAGGAGUUUGAUACCAGCCUGGCCAACAUGGUGAAACCCUGCCUCUACUAAAAAUACAGAAAUUAGCCAGGCAUGGUGGUGUGCGCCUGUACUGCCAUGCCAGCUACUAGGGAGGUCGAGGCGGGAGAAUCGCUUGAACCCGGGAGGCGGAGGUUGCAGUGAGUUGAGAUCGCACCACUGCACUCCAGCCCGGGUGACAGAAUGAGACCCCAUCUUAAAAUAAAUAAAUAAAAAUAAAAAAAAACACUUUACCAUGUAUUAUCUUCUCUGAAGCUUACAACUCUGUAAUGGUAAAAAUUAUUCUUCAGGCCGGGCACGGUGGCUCACGCCUGCAAUUCCAGCAGUUUGGGAGGCCAAGGCCGGUGCAUUGCUUGAGCCCAGGAGUUCGAGACCAGCCUGGGCAUGAUGGCAAAACCCUGUCUCCACUGGAAGAAAGGAAAAAACAAGAUGAAACACAACCUGCCCCCCUUCAAAAUUAGCCGGGCGCGGUGGUGCUCACCUGUAGUCCCAGCUACUCGUGAGGAGGCUGAGGUGGGAGGAUAACUUGAACCUCGGAGGCAGAGGCUGCAGUGAGCCAAGAUCUUGCCACUGCACUCUAGCCUGGGCAACAGAGUGAGACUGUCUGAAAAACAAACAGAAAAACUCUAUGUUUUAUAGAUGAGCAAAUGAAGAAACGAGAGGUUCUAAUACUUUCUCUAAAGCAAACUGACAGCAGACGAGCCAAAUCUGGAAGGCUUUGAAAAGUUAUUAGAAUUUAUUACAAAUGUUAAAGAACAGAAGGCCUUGCAUUAAAAAAAAAAAAGUUUUCAGCAGCUCUUGAAAAAUUGGAAAAUAGGGUAACAUUGAGCCCGCGCUUCCCAUGGUGGCAAUCAUUUGAAGUUGAAUCAUGGCUGCCCCUUUCAGAUGGGGUAUGAGCCUUCUCGUUGACCCCUGCCUGCAGCAG
RNAcentral lists this transfer RNA (4148 nucleotides) under Homo sapiens (human). RNAcentral's name for it is "HSALNT0384954". Lineage: Eukaryota; Metazoa; Chordata; Mammalia; Primates; Hominidae. The record is from RNAcentral.